UUCUUAAAUGGAAAAUUUUAUGUUUUGAUCCAAAAUCUAACUGGUUAAUUUCGGUCUGAUUCAAAUUUAGUUUCAACUAAUUUAAAUUUGAUCAAUUUUGAUCUGAUUUUAAUUUCAAAUUGGAACAAUUUGAUUCUGACUUCAAACCAAACCGUACCCACCCUCUUUCUCUAUGUAUAUAUUGAUGUUUAAGCGUAAAAUAAGCUUUCCGCGUAGUAUUGUUAAAUAUCAAAGAAACAGAGGCGAAUAUGGUAAACAACUUUUUUUCCCCCAAUUAUACAACAAAAAUAGUAUAUUUCCUGCAAUCUGUAGUUCACAAAUGUCUUAAAAGCGAAAAUCAGGAAAUUUCAUAGCCAAAGAUCAUUAUGGGAAAGGAAAAUUCUCCUUGUAAAAAACUGAUAAAAUGAAAAUAAAUUAUUAUUAGAGUUCAUUUAAUUCGAUCUAAAUAACGAGUAGUCAUUGAAAGAACUUUUCAAAGAGUAGCUUUGAACUUUUAAAUUCAUCAAGUAAUGUGGAGGGCUCACAAGAAGUGGUAGAAUUACCUUGCUUGUAGCUCAUCCAUUGAAAAAACAGAGAGAGAGAGAGAGA
This 588-nucleotide unclassified non-coding RNA is filed under the name Hevea brasiliensis (rubber tree). The record is from RNAcentral. Lineage: Eukaryota; Viridiplantae; Streptophyta; Magnoliopsida; Malpighiales; Euphorbiaceae.